GUGCUUUCACAUGGCAAGUCGAAGCGGUUAGGCUCCUUCGGGAGUACACGAGCGGCGAACGGGUGAGUAACACGUGAGCAAUCUGCCCUUCACACGGGGAUAACUCCGGGAAACCGAAGCUAAUACCCGAUACGACCACCUCAGGCAUCUGAUGGUGGUGGAAAGUUCCGGCGGUGAAGGAUGAGCUCGCGGCCUAUCAGCUUGUUGGCGGGGUAACGGCCCACCAAGGCGAAGAUGCGUAGCUGGUCUGAGAGGAUGAUCAGCCACACUGGGACUGAGAUACGGCCCAGACUCCUACGGGAGGCAGCAGUGGGGAAUUGUUCGCAAUGGGCGCAAGCCUGACGACGCAACGCCGCGUGGGGGAUGAAGGUCUUCGGAUUGUAAACC
RNAcentral lists this ribosomal RNA (387 nucleotides) under uncultured Marmoricola sp. Its description in RNAcentral is "bacterial SSU rRNA". It matches the Rfam family "Bacterial small subunit ribosomal RNA", at positions 44 to 431 of the family's 1533-position model. The record is from RNAcentral. Lineage: Bacteria; Bacillati; Actinomycetota; Actinomycetes; Propionibacteriales; Nocardioidaceae.